UACGAAGGGUGCGAGCGUUAUUCGGAUUGAUUGGGCGUAAAGGGUGCGCAGGCGGUAUGUUAAGUCAACUGUCAAAUUUCCCGGCUUAACCGGGGGUCGGCGGUAGAUACUGGCACACUAGAGGAUGGAAGAGAGAAGUGGAAUUCUCGGAGUAGCGGUAAAAUGCGUAGAUCUCGAGAGGAACACCGAUGGCGAAGGCAGCUUCUUGGUCCAUUUCUGACGCUCAUGCACGAAAGCGUGGGGAGCAAACAGG
This 253-nucleotide ribosomal RNA is filed under the name uncultured bacterium. RNAcentral describes it as "partial 16S ribosomal RNA". It matches the Rfam family "Bacterial small subunit ribosomal RNA", at positions 524 to 776 of the family's 1533-position model. The record is from RNAcentral.